CCUACGGGAGGCAGCAGUGAGGAAUAUUGGUCAAUGGGCGCGAGCCUGAACCAGCCAAGUAGCGUGAAGGAUGACUGCCCUACGGGUUGUAAACUUCUUUUAUAAAGGAAUAAAGUGAGGCACGUGUGCCUUUUUGUAUGUACUUUAUUAAUAAGGAUCGGCUAACUCCGUGCCAGCAGCCGCGGUAAUACGGAGGAUCCGAGCGUUAUCCGAAUUUUUUUGGUUUAAAGGGAGCGGAGAUGGGUAGUUAAGUCAGUUGUGAAAGUUUGCGGUUCAAACGUGACAUUGCAAUUGAUACUGGCAGUCUUGAGUACAGUUGAGGUAGGCGGAAUGCGUGGUGUAGCGGUGAAAUGCUUAGAUAUCACGAAGAACUCCGAUUGCGAAGGCAGCUUACUAAACUGCCACUGACAUUGAUGCUCGAAAGUGUGGGUAUCAAACAGGAUUAGAUACCCGGGUAGUC
This 460-nucleotide ribosomal RNA is filed under the name uncultured bacterium. RNAcentral describes it as "partial 16S ribosomal RNA". It matches the Rfam family "Bacterial small subunit ribosomal RNA", at positions 338 to 795 of the family's 1533-position model. The record is from RNAcentral.